UCAAAAACAUGGCUUCCUGGUUUUAUAGUAAAGGAGGUCUGGCCUGCCCGGUGGAGUUAUUCUAAACGGUCGCAGCUACCACUGUGCGAAGGUAGCACAAUAGGUCGUCCUUUAAUUGGGGGAAAGUAUGAAUGGUCAGAUAUUGGAAAAACUUUAUUAUGUUUACGGUUUGAAUUUUACUUUUUAGUGCAAAGGCUAAAAUAGAUUUAUUAGACGAGAAGACCCUGUUGAGCUUAGUAAGUUAGAUUUUAGUUAAAUCUAAUUAUGUUUUUUCGGGGCUGAAAAUAAGGGAAGCUUAUGCCUUAUAUUUUAGUAUGCAGAUCCGAUAUGAUCGAGAAGUGGAAGAUAGUUACCACAGGGAUAACAGCGCAAUCUUCCUGAUAAGGCCAUAUUUAAGGGUUGGUUUGCGACCUCGAUGUUGAAUCAGAAUUUCUGUCAGGUGUAGCAGUUUGGCAAGUAGGACUGUUCGUCCUUUAAAAUUCUACGUGAUCUGAG
RNAcentral lists this ribosomal RNA (495 nucleotides) under Tellinides ovalis. RNAcentral's name for it is "partial 16S ribosomal RNA". It matches the Rfam family "Bacterial large subunit ribosomal RNA", at positions 1807 to 2609 of the family's 2925-position model. The record is from RNAcentral. Lineage: Eukaryota; Metazoa; Mollusca; Bivalvia; Cardiida; Tellinidae.